RNAcentral lists this ribosomal RNA (497 nucleotides) under uncultured bacterium. Its description in RNAcentral is "partial 16S ribosomal RNA". It matches the Rfam family "Bacterial small subunit ribosomal RNA", at positions 28 to 507 of the family's 1533-position model. The record is from RNAcentral.
GAUGAACGCUGGCGGCGUGCCUAAUACAUGCAAGUCGAGCGAACGGACGAGAAGCUUGCUUCUCUGAUGUUAGCGGCGGACGGGUGAGCAACACGUGGAUAACCUACCUAUGAGACUGGGAUAACUUCGGGAAACCGGAGCUAAUACCGGAUGAUAUUUUGAACCGCAUGGUUCAAAAGUGAAAGACGGUCUUGCUGUCACUUAUAGAUGGAUCCGCGCUGCAUUAGCUAGUUGGUAAGGUAACGGCUUACCAAGGCAACGAUGCAUAGCCGACCUGAGAGGGUGAUCGGCCACACUGGAACUGAGACACGGUCCAGACUCCUACGGGAGGCAGCAGUAGGGAAUCUUCCGCAAUGGGCGAAAGCCUGACGGAGCAACGCCGCGUGAGUGAUGAAGGUCUUCGGAUCGUAAAACUCUGUUAUUAGGGAAGAACAUAUGUGUAAGUAACUGUGCACAUCUUGACGGUACCUAAUCAGAAAGCCACGGCUAACUACGUG